This 285-nucleotide unclassified non-coding RNA is filed under the name fungal sp. RNAcentral's name for it is "partial internal transcribed spacer region". The stretch from base 1 to 46 matches the Rfam family "Eukaryotic small subunit ribosomal RNA", at positions 1786 to 1831 of the family's 1831-position model. The record is from RNAcentral. Lineage: Eukaryota; Fungi.
AAGUCGUAACAAGGUUUCCGUAGGUGAACCUGCGGAAGGAUCAUUGAUAAAAGUCUAUUGACUUUAUAUAUAUAACCUUUGUUUAUUUUUUCCCUGUUUCUUCCACUGGACAGGCUACUUAUAUAUUUAGCCAGCCGUCUCUUACAGUAGGUAGUAAAUACCAUACCAAGUUUGAGAGUGCCAGUGGAUAUUUAAACCCCAAAAAAGUAUUAAGUUUUAAAAAACUCUUUGUCUGAAUAUAAUGCAAAUUGAAUAAAACUUUCAACAAUGGAUCUCUAGGCUCUU